AGACUCUUUAUGCAUUUCAAAUGCAGGAAGACGUUGCAAACACUUCUGGAGACUUUAAGAAACUGGCUUUGAGAAGAUAUCUUGCAAAGCGACCUAGGGCCUGGUUUAAAAGGAGCACGUUCAAACUACAACAGCUAAAUGAUGCACCUACCUUUUGCAGCGCAAUCUUCCUGUGUAUUGUACAUGCAUUUAAUUUGCUGCUCUCAGGGCCCAUACAUUUGUUUUUAUUACAGCCUGUGACUGUUUCAUUUAGUUUUUCUUUUCUUUGCAGAAUAACAUUCUUGGAAAAGGCAGUAGCCAUCAGUGGUCCCUUCUUGGGGAAAGGACAUUUCUGGACUUUCUUUGUUUGUUCGCAUAAUGCCAGACUAUGGAUGCCAUCGGCUGUCCUUCAAACAUCUACUACUCUAAUCUGCCCUCAAUAACUGUAGUUGUAGCUGAUGCCAAACAGAGCACAGUAGGCUGUAGAAAUGGCAGGGUUUAAGGAUGUAUUAUUUGUCAUUAAGAAAUUGUCAAUUUUGAGGAAGUUGAAAUGUGAUUUUUAUGAUUUUAAUAGUAAUUAUGAUUGCUUGCGCUGAAAAAUUUCAGAUGCUGGGCAGUGAGCUAUUCAUAUAUGUAAUGUUCCUGGUUUGCAAGUUUGCUCCACAAAAGGAAUUGGUACAGGAAAUAUAUGAAAACGAGGAUGUUCAUGAUUCAAUGACCAAAACUAAAGACUUCAGGUAAAAAAUAAUGUUUUUGUUUUUAUAUUUUUACUUAUUUUUUUCAUAAUCAUCAGUGUAAAUUGAAACCAGACUCUUUAUGCAUUUCAAAUGCAGGAAGACGUUGCAAACACUUCUGGAGACUUUAAGAAACUGGCUUUGAGAAGAUAUCUUGCAAAGCGACCUAGGGCCUGGUUUAAAAGGAGCACGUUCAAACUACAACAGCUAAAUGAUGCGCCUACCUUUUGCAGCGCAAUCUUCCUGUGUAUUGUACAUGCAUUUAAUUUACUGGAUUUGUUUGUAAUUGUAAUUGUUUAAAAAAGGAAAGAAGUCAUAAUUAUACUUGAUUAUUUUAUUGUAAUAUUGGACCUGUAAACUUAUUAUUUUCUAUCACAUUUUGGUUAUUUUUAGAAUUACAGGGCUUAAUCUCUCUGCAACAACCUAUGAGAACAUUAAGUGGUUGCACAUAGAUUGACACCCAGAACUUUUGAAAUCACAUUUAUGUAUCACCAAGUCAACUCAGGACUUCUCUCACAAUUCAGAUGGCAAAUGUUAUUCGUAUGAACAUAUGUUAAGAAUUUUUGACAUUACACCUCAGUGAUAACUCAUGGAUUUGAUGAUUUAUUCACACUGGAGAAGAUAGAUGUGUGAACCUAGGAACGCACUGCAGACAUGGCCAGUUGCAUGGUUGUCUGCUCUAAAUAAAAUGUCAUACUCUUGGAAUAAUAGAUUUAAAUGUAAUAAUAUAAUAUUUAUUAUUUAUUUAAAUUUCUGGUUUAAAAGGAAAAUAGACCCAAUAUAGCUGAAAUGGUUUUCUUAAAUUUUAUCUCUCAAAAUGAUGGGUAUUAUUAAACAUGUGGAGAUUAGCAUUAAUAAGUAAAUGCAACCUCUUAUUUACACGAGGCAAACAAAGCUACUUCCUUUGCAUUUUUAAGUAUGUAAUUGUAGACCUAUAAAUAUAAAACAAUUGUGUUGCAUACAUGUUACUGCCAUAAUAAUGACCCAUUUCAAAUGUUUACGUGCUUCUCUGAUCUUUUUGUUCUUAAUAAUCAUCCAAUCACUGUGAUGGAGCAUUUCUGAAAUAGUAUUCUUGUAAACAUUUUAGUAUUUCAAAAAAAAUUGUGUUGUAAUAUGCAUGCAAAGUACAACAGUGAGUAUAUGGUGUUAAACAAUGGUGAAAACGGUUUUAAACGGUUUAUUUUGAAAUGUUUUAAUCUCAGAGAUGUGGAUUUGGACAGCAAUUAAAUUACCACAUGACCUUGGGAUUCGGACUGAGAUUUUCAUGGGGAUUGUGGGAGAAAAAAGGUAACACUUUAUAAUAACUGCACACUAUUGAUAAUUAAUUAAGCAUUAGUAAACAGAUAAUUCAUAAUUCAUAAAGCAUUAAUAUACAGUAAUAAGUAGUUUAUAAAUACAGAUAUAAAUGCUUUAUUCUUUAUUUAAAAACAUAUCUAUAAUGUGUUUAAUAAUUGUGUUUUCAUACUUUAUUCAUGAUCAAUUUAUCAUUUCUCAAUGAAGUAUAGCAUUAUUUACACACCAGUUAUUAAGGAGUUGCCACUGAUUCAUAAGAUCACAAGAAAUGUAGUAAAUUCAGGUAGUUAUAAAGCAUUUAGUAGUGGUCAGUUAACUAUUUAUGAGAGCUCAUCUAAAGUGAGGACUAGUUAUGCCUUGUAAAGCAUUUAUAAAGGAUAUUUAAAGGCUCAGUUAUCUUCUAAACAAAAAAUGGAAACAAACACAACACAGUGAUACAGAACAUAGAAAUAUUAAUAUGAAUAUAGAGUACUCCUACGCUGAGAGCAGCUCAUAGAACAGUAAAAAUAACUGUGAUAUGAAUAUUGAGUACUCCUGCCCUGAGAUCAGUAAAAAUAACUGUAAUAUGAAUAUUGAGUACUCCUGCCCUGAGAGCAGUGCAUCAUUUAUUAAAAUAACAGUA
Long non-coding RNA from Carassius auratus (goldfish), 2628 nucleotides. Lineage: Eukaryota; Metazoa; Chordata; Actinopteri; Cypriniformes; Cyprinidae. The record is from Ensembl.